AUGGUGGGCAUGGGUGGGUG
Molecule: unclassified non-coding RNA, 20 nt
Filed under: Chlamydomonas reinhardtii
Lineage: Eukaryota; Viridiplantae; Chlorophyta; Chlorophyceae; Chlamydomonadales; Chlamydomonadaceae
Description: small RNA Cre_0782
Source: RNAcentral